Molecule: ribosomal RNA, 413 nt
Filed under: unidentified bacterium TMB817
Lineage: Bacteria
Description: bacterial SSU rRNA
Rfam family: Bacterial small subunit ribosomal RNA
Source: RNAcentral
AUCCGGUGCUUGCACCGGGGAUUAGUGGCGAACGGGUGAGUAACACGUGAGUAACCUGCCCUUAACUCUGGGAUAAGCCUGGGAAACUGGGUCUAAUACCGGAUAUGACUGAUCAUCGCAUGGUGGUUGGUGGAAAGCUUUUUGUGGUUUUGGAUGGACUCGCGGCCUAUCAGCUUGUUGGUGAGGUAAUGGCUUACCAAGGCGACGACGGGUAGCCGGCCUGAGAGGGUGACCGGCCACACUGGGACUGAGACACGGCCCAGACUCCUACGGGAGGCAGCAGUGGGGAAUAUUGCACAAUGGGCGCAAGCCUGAUGCAGCGACGCCGCGUGAGGGAUGACGGCCUUCGGGUUGUAAACCUCUUUCAGUAGGGAAGAAGCGAAAGUGACGGUACCUGCAGAAGAAGCGCCGGC